Cervus elaphus (red deer) is the source of this 805-nucleotide long non-coding RNA. RefSeq lists it as uncharacterized. The transcript has 3 exons. NCBI's taxonomy places the organism in Eukaryota, Metazoa, Chordata, Mammalia, Artiodactyla, Cervidae. The record is from RefSeq and is a predicted model, not a curated record.
UUCACUGUUUUCCUUUGUUUCUUCCUGUUCUCAUUUCUCUGGCUGAACGUAGUGUUUGGCUAAAGUUUUUCCACAGACAGAGGGCAAGCAGAGGGUGUGGGGGGCAAGGACCACAGGGUCCUGCUUCAUUUCAUUAAUACCUGUUUUUCUCUCCUUGCUUAUGGAAAAGGGACUGACAGAGGACUGGAAGGAAGUGAAGAGAUGGCCGAGUCUAAUCACUUAUUCAUGUGGUUGAAUAACUUCAGUUGCAAAAUGUUCAAGCAACUUUCCCAAGGUCGUGUAACUGAUUAAUGACAGAGCUGAUCUAAAAAGGAUGCUUUGCCCAGAAGGCAAGAAGAACCAUUCCUCAGAAGUCAAGAAUAUCAACCACCAGCUGAGUCAAGAGGGUUCAUAGUUGGCCACCAAAAUGGGUGACCCAGUUGAAGAUACCAAAACACCAGGUGAGGAAGUUAACUACAUGAAGACCAGACUAUAUCCAGGAAUUGAGCUGUCACGAUUCUGAGAACUGACCACAAGGAAAUGGGAACAAGCACACCCCAGAACUGAAGAUUAAUUGCCUGAAACAACCAAGACGAUGCUAGUCAGACUGCUGAUGACCAGUUUGAGGAUGACUGUGCUGUUUCUAUGUAACCUCCCCUCCCACUCUGUCCAUAACGGCUCUCACCCCCUUGUCGGGGGUGGGAGUAGUGGAGUCGGCCUUUGGAAGCUGUCUGCCACCAUUCCCCCCGCCCCAGUUGCCAGCAUCUGAAAUAAAUCAAACUUUCCUUUCUACCAACCUGGCCUGCUUAUUGGCUUUUGAGUGGUG